UAAGCGGAGGAAAAGAAACCAACAGGGAUUGCCUCAGUAGCGGCGAGUGAAGCGGCAAGAGCUCAGAUUUGAAAUCGUGCUUUGCGGCACGAGUUGUAGAUUGCAGGUUGGAGUCUGUGUGGAAGGCGGUGUCCAAGUCCCUUGGAACAGGGCGCCCAGGAGGGUGAGAGCCCCGUGGGAUGCCGGCGGAAGCAGUGAGGCCCUUCUGACGAGUCGAGUUGUUUGGGAAUGCAGCUCCAAGCGGGUGGUAAAUUCCAUCUAAGGCUAAAUACUGGCGAGAGACCGAUAGCGAACAAGUACUGUGAAGGAAAGAUGAAAAGCACUUUGAAAAGAGAGUGAAACAGCACGUGAAAUUGUUGAAAGGGAAGGGUAUUGCGCCCGACAUGGGGAUUGCGCACCGCUGCCUCUCGUGGGCGGCGCUCUGGGCUUUCCCUGGGCCAGCAUCGGUUCUUGCUGCAGGAGAAGGGGUUCUGGAACGUGGCUCUUCGGAGUGUUAUAGCCAGGGCCAGAUGCUGCGUGCGGGGACCGAGGACUGCGGCCGUGUAGGUCACGGAUGCUGG
RNAcentral lists this ribosomal RNA (560 nucleotides) under Pichia kudriavzevii. RNAcentral describes it as "eukaryotic LSU rRNA". It matches the Rfam family "Eukaryotic large subunit ribosomal RNA", at positions 47 to 629 of the family's 3401-position model. The record is from RNAcentral. Lineage: Eukaryota; Fungi; Ascomycota; Pichiomycetes; Pichiales; Pichiaceae.